CAACCGGACGCUUUACGAGAUAACCAACUUCAUGCUUACACCAAGGUAAGACUAGUUGGUGCAUUCUAUUCUGGCUUCCUACAU
RNAcentral lists this microRNA precursor (84 nucleotides) under Schistosoma mansoni. RNAcentral's name for it is "microRNA sma-mir-8439 precursor". Lineage: Eukaryota; Metazoa; Platyhelminthes; Trematoda; Strigeidida; Schistosomatidae. The record is from miRBase by way of RNAcentral.